Molecule: ribosomal RNA, 465 nt
Filed under: uncultured bacterium
Lineage: Bacteria
Description: partial 16S ribosomal RNA
Rfam family: Bacterial small subunit ribosomal RNA
Source: RNAcentral
GACGAACGCUGGCGGCGUGCUUAACACAUGCAAGUCGAACGGAAAGGCCCUGCUUGCAGGGUACUCGAGUGGCGAACGGGUGAGUAACACGUGGGUGAUCUGCCCUGCACUUCGGGAUAAGCUUGGGAAACUGGGUCUAAUACCGGAUAGGACCGCACUUUAGUGUGUGUGGUGGAAAGUUUUUUCGGUGUAGGAUGAGCUCGCGGCCUAUCAGCUUGUUGGUGGGGUAAUGGCCUACCAAGGCGGCGACGGGUAGCCGGCCUGAGAGGGUGUACGGCCACAUUGGGACUGAGAUACGGCCCAGACUCCUACGGGAGGCAGCAGUGGGGAAUAUUGCACAAUGGGCGCAAGCCUGAUGCAGCGACGCCGCGUGGGGGAUGAAGGCCUUCGGGUUGUAAACUCCUUUCGCUGGGGACGAAGCUUUUUGUGACGGUACCUAGAUAAGAAGCACCGGCUAACUACGUG